UGAGGAAUUUUGCGCAAUGGGGGAAACCCUGACGCAGCAACGCCGCGUGAGUGAUGAAGGCUUUCGAGUCGUAAAGCUCUGUCAAGUGGGAAGAAGUCAUGCAUGGCCAAUAUCCAUGUAUGUUGACGGUACCACUGAAGGAAGCACCGGCUAACUCCGUGCCAGCAGCCGCGGUAAUACGGGGGGUGCAAGCGUUACUCGGAAUCAUUGGGCGUAAAGGGCGCGUAGGCGGCCUGAUCAGUCAGAUGUGAAAGCCCGGGGCUCAACCCCGGAAGAGCAUUUGAUACUGUCAGGCUUGAGUAUGGGAGAGGAAAGUGGAAUUCCUGGUGUAGAGGUGAAAUUCGUAGAUAUCAGGAGGAACACCGGUGGCGAAGGCGACUUUCUGGACCAAUACUGACGCUGAGGCGCGAAGGCGUGGGGAGCAAACAGG
RNAcentral lists this ribosomal RNA (430 nucleotides) under uncultured bacterium. RNAcentral describes it as "bacterial SSU rRNA". It matches the Rfam family "Bacterial small subunit ribosomal RNA", at positions 355 to 776 of the family's 1533-position model. The record is from RNAcentral.